GACAGAGGUGCCGAGCGUUAGGCGGAAUCACUGGGCUUAAAGCGUGUGUAGGCGGACCGUUAAGUGUCUUGUGAAAUCCCCCGGCUCAACCGGGGAACGGCUGGGCAUACUGGCGGUCUUGAGAGACCUAGGGGCGAGCGGAACAGGCGGUGGAGCGGUGAAAUGCGUAGAUAUCGCCUGGAACGCCGACGGUGAAAACAGCUCGCUGGGGGUCUUCUGACGCUGAGACACGAAAGCCAGGGGAGCGAACGGG
RNAcentral lists this ribosomal RNA (253 nucleotides) under uncultured bacterium. RNAcentral describes it as "partial 16S ribosomal RNA". It matches the Rfam family "Bacterial small subunit ribosomal RNA", at positions 524 to 776 of the family's 1533-position model. The record is from RNAcentral.